UUGACUGUUCUAGGACAAUAUUUGACUAUGCUUCCCAUGGAGCCUAAACUUGGGAAGAUGCUCAUAUUAGGUGCUAUCUUCAAUUGCCUGGAUCCAAUAUUAACUGUUGUUGCUGGCCUUAGUGUUAGAGAUCCUUUCUUAACACCAAUGGAUAAGAAGGAACUUGCAGAGGCUGCUAAAUCUCAAUUUUCUAAUGAUUAUAGUGACCACCUUGCCCUUGUCC
RNAcentral lists this unclassified non-coding RNA (223 nucleotides) under Hevea brasiliensis (rubber tree). The record is from RNAcentral. Lineage: Eukaryota; Viridiplantae; Streptophyta; Magnoliopsida; Malpighiales; Euphorbiaceae.